UCUUGCUCAAAUUACAUCUAUAAGGAAAUAGUAUAAAUUUAAUUGUUGAAUGCAAAGGAUAAGGAUCACAAACGAUAUAGCGCGAGGUGCGAAAUUAGAUUAUAACGCAACAUUGAAAAACAUCUUUCCAUACUAACUUGGGUAGCCGGCACUGCCAAUAUGAUAUCAGGAAGGAUGACAAAGUCAAUGUCAAACGAAAUGAACAACAAAACCGUUUUGCAAAGAUUGAACAACAAGCGCUCAAGAUCAAAAACAGAACGGUUCCUUAUGGAUUUGUAUUUAUAAUUAUUUUAUUUAUACUAGAUGUUGUUUAGCAUAAAUUGCAAUUUAUUUCAUUCAUUCGUUGUAUUUUAUAAAAUGAUUAUCUAUUAACAUAUUAACAUUUAAAACAAUUAUAAUAUUUCAUUCACA
Long non-coding RNA from Gordionus sp. m RMFG-2023, 411 nucleotides. RefSeq lists it as uncharacterized. NCBI's taxonomy places the organism in Eukaryota, Metazoa, Nematomorpha, Gordioida, Chordodea, Parachordodidae. The record is from RefSeq and is a predicted model, not a curated record. The transcript is spliced from 3 exons.